RNAcentral lists this transfer RNA (74 nucleotides) under Rattus norvegicus (Norway rat). It matches the Rfam family "tRNA". From Rfam's summary of the family: Transfer RNA (tRNA) molecules are approximately 80 nucleotides in length. Their secondary structure includes four short double-helical elements and three loops (D, anti-codon, and T loops). Lineage: Eukaryota; Metazoa; Chordata; Mammalia; Rodentia; Muridae. The record is from Rfam by way of RNAcentral.
GGGGAUUUAGCUCAAUGGUAGAGCGCUUGCCUAGUAAGCGCAGCGCAAGGCCCUGGGUUCGGUCCCCAGCUCCA